RNAcentral lists this ribosomal RNA (1342 nucleotides) under Mycobacterium gordonae. Its description in RNAcentral is "bacterial SSU rRNA". It matches the Rfam family "Bacterial small subunit ribosomal RNA", at positions 98 to 1440 of the family's 1533-position model. Lineage: Bacteria; Bacillati; Actinomycetota; Actinomycetes; Mycobacteriales; Mycobacteriaceae. The record is from RNAcentral.
GCGAACGGGUGAGUAACACGUGGGUAAUCUGCCCUGCACAUCGGGAUAAGCCUGGGAAACUGGGUCUAAUACCGAAUAGGACCACAGAACACAUGUCCUGUGGUGGAAAGCUUUUGCGGUGUGGGAUGGGCCCGCGGCCUAUCAGCUUGUUGGUGGGGUGAUGGCCCACCAAGGCGACGACGGGUAGCCGGCCUGAGAGGGUGUCCGGCCACACUGGGACUGAGAUACGGCCCAGACUCCUACGGGAGGCAGCAGUGGGGAAUAUUGCACAAUGGGCGAAAGCCUGAUGCAGCGACGCCGCGUGGGGGAUGACGGCCUUCGGGUUGUAAACCUCUUUCACCAUCGACGAAGGUUCGGGUUUUCUCGGAUUGACGGUAGGUGGAGAAGAAGCACCGGCCAACUACGUGCCAGCAGCCGCGGUAAUACGUAGGGUGCGAGCGUUGUCCGGAAUUACUGGGCGUAAAGAGCUCGUAGGUGGUUUGUCGCGUUGUUCGUGAAAUCUCACGGCUUAACUGUGAGCGUGCGGGCGAUACGGGCAGACUUGAGUACUGCAGGGGAGACUGGAAUUCCUGGUGUAGCGGUGGAAUGCGCAGAUAUCAGGAGGAACACCGGUGGCGAAGGCGGGUCUCUGGGCAGUAACUGACGCUGAGGAGCGAAAGCGUGGGGAGCGAACAGGAUUAGAUACCCUGGUAGUCCACGCCGUAAACGGUGGGUACUAGGUGUGGGUUUCCUUCCUUGGGAUCCGUGCCGUAGCUAACGCAUUAAGUACCCCGCCUGGGGAGUACGGCCGCAAGGCUAAAACUCAAAGAAAUUGACGGGGGCCCGCACAAGCGGCGGAGCAUGUGGAUUAAUUCGAUGCAACGCGAAGAACCUUACCUGGGUUUGACAUGCACAGGACGCCGGCAGAGAUGUCGGUUCCCUUGUGGCCUGUGUGCAGGUGGUGCAUGGCUGUCGUCAGCUCGUGUCGUGAGAUGUUGGGUUAAGUCCCGCAACGAGCGCAACCCUUGUCUCAUGUUGCCAGCGGGUAAUGCCGGGGACUCGUGAGAGACUGCCGGGGUCAACUCGGAGGAAGGUGGGGAUGACGUCAAGUCAUCAUGCCCCUUAUGUCCAGGGCUUCACACAUGCUACAAUGGCCGGUACAAAGGGCUGCGAUGCCGCGAGGUUAAGCGAAUCCUUUUAAAGCCGGUCUCAGUUCGGAUCGGGGUCUGCAACUCGACCCCGUGAAGUCGGAGUCGCUAGUAAUCGCAGAUCAGCAACGCUGCGGUGAAUACGUUCCCGGGCCUUGUACACACCGCCCGUCACGUCAUGAAAGUCGGUAACACCCGAAGCCAGUGGCCUAACC